This 680-nucleotide ribosomal RNA is filed under the name Streptomyces sp. LK2114.4. RNAcentral describes it as "bacterial SSU rRNA". It matches the Rfam family "Bacterial small subunit ribosomal RNA", at positions 75 to 768 of the family's 1533-position model. The record is from RNAcentral. Lineage: Bacteria; Bacillati; Actinomycetota; Actinomycetes; Kitasatosporales; Streptomycetaceae.
CUCCUUCGGGAGNNCAUUAAUGGCGAACGGGUGAGUAACACGUGGGCAAUCUGCCCUUCACUCUGGGACAAGCCCUGGAAACGGGGUCUAAUACCGGAUACGACCUCCGACCGCAUGGUCUGGUGGUGGAAAGCUCCGGCGGUGAAGGAUGAGCCCGCGGCCUAUCAGCUUGUUGGUGGGGUGAUGGCCUACCAAGGCGACGACGGGUAGCCGGCCUGAGAGGGCGACCGGCCACACUGGGACUGAGACACGGCCCAGACUCCUACGGGAGGCAGCAGUGGGGAAUAUUGCACAAUGGGCGAAAGCCUGAUGCAGCGACGCCGCGUGAGGGAUGACGGCCUUCGGGUUGUAAACCUCUUUCAGCAGGGAAGAAGCGAGAGUGACGGUACCUGCAGAAGAAGCGCCGGCUAACUACGUGCCAGCAGCCGCGGUAAUACGUAGGGCGCAAGCGUUGUCCGGAAUUAUUGGGCGUAAAGAUCUCGUAGGCGGCUUGUCACGUCGGAUGUGAAAGCCCGGGGCUUAACCNCGGGUCUGCAUUCGAUACGGGCAGGCUAGAGUUCGGUAGGGGAGAUCAGAAUUCCUGGUGUAGCGGUGAUAUGCGCAGAUAUCANGAAGAACNNCNGGUGGCGAANGCGGAUCUCUGGGNCGAUACUGACNCUGAGNANCAAAAGCGUGGGGAG